Molecule: ribosomal RNA, 463 nt
Filed under: uncultured bacterium
Lineage: Bacteria
Description: partial 16S ribosomal RNA
Rfam family: Bacterial small subunit ribosomal RNA
Source: RNAcentral
GACGAACGCUGGCGGCGUGCUUAACACAUGCAAGUCGAACGGAAAGGCCUUUUCGGAGGUACUCGAGUGGCGAACGGGUGAGUAACACGUGGGUGAUCUGCCCUGCACUCUGGGAUAAGCCUGGGAAACUGGGUCUAAUACCGGAUAGGACCGCACUUUAGUGUGUGUGGUGGAAAGUUUUUUCGGUGUAGGAUGAGCCCGCGGCCUAUCAGCUUGUUGGUGGGGUAAUGGCCUACCAAGGCGGCGACGGGUAGCCGGACUGAGAGGUUGGUCGGCCACAUUGGGACUGAGAUACGGCCCAGACUCCUACGGGAGGCAGCAGUGGGGAAUAUUGCACAAUGGGCGCAAGCCUGAUGCAGCGACGCCGCGUGGGGGAUGACGGCCUUCGGGUUGUAAACUCCUUUCGCCAGGGACGAAGCGUUUUGUGACGGUACCUGGAGAAGAAGCACCGGCUAACUCCGUG